GGGCUCAUCUCAGCAGCACAUGUGCUAAUGUUGGAUCGAUAUAGAAAAGAUUAGCAUGGCCCCCAAGCAGGGUUGACGUACAAAGUCAUGAAGCAUUUUGUAUAUGU
This is a small nuclear RNA of Peromyscus maniculatus bairdii (prairie deer mouse), 107 nucleotides long. NCBI's taxonomy places the organism in Eukaryota, Metazoa, Chordata, Mammalia, Rodentia, Cricetidae. The record is from RefSeq and is a predicted model, not a curated record.